AUACGGAGGGUGCAAGCGUUAAUCGGAAUUACUGGGCGUAAAGCGUGCGCAGGCGGUUUGUUAAGUCAGAUGUGAAAGCCCCGGGCUCAACCUGGGAACUGCAUUUGAAACUGGCAAACUAGAGUGUGGUAGAGGGAAGUGGAAUUCCUCAUGUAGCGGUGAUAUGCGUAGAUAUGAGGAGGAACACCAGUGGCGAAGGCGACUUCCUGGACCAACACUGACGCUCAUGUACGAAAGCGUGGGUAGCAAACAGGAUUAGAAACCCUAGUAGUCC
RNAcentral lists this ribosomal RNA (274 nucleotides) under uncultured bacterium. RNAcentral's name for it is "partial 16S ribosomal RNA". It matches the Rfam family "Bacterial small subunit ribosomal RNA", at positions 523 to 796 of the family's 1533-position model. The record is from RNAcentral.